This 2626-nucleotide long non-coding RNA is filed under the name Pan troglodytes (chimpanzee). Its description in RNAcentral is "lincRNA". The record is from RNAcentral. Lineage: Eukaryota; Metazoa; Chordata; Mammalia; Primates; Hominidae.
CCCCACAGGGGGCUUUCGUGAGCCAGGCAGCGAGGGCCGCCCCCGUGCUGCAGCCCAGCCGGGCCGCGCCGGCAGAGGGGAUCUCCCAACCUGCCCCGGCGCGCGGGGAUUUUGCCUACGCCGCCCCGGCUCCUCCGGAAGGGGCGCUCUCCCACCCUCAGGCUCCUCGGUGGCCUCCGCACCCGGGCAAAGCCGGGAGGACCGGGACCCGCAGCGCGACGGCCUGCCGGGCCCUUGCGCGGUGGGACAGCCUGGGCCCGCUCAAGCGGGGCCGCAGGGCCAAGGUGUGCUUGCGCCACCCACGUCCCAGGGGAGCCCGUGGUGGGGCUGGGGCCGGGGUCCCCAGGUCGCCGGGGCGGCGUGGGAACCCCAAGCCGGGGCAGCUCCACCUCCCCAGCCCGCGCCCCCGGAGGCCUCCGCGCGGCAGGGGCAGAUGCAAGGCAUCCCGGCGCCCUCCCAGGCGCUCCAGGAGCCGGGGCGCUCGUCUGCACUCCCCUGCGGCCUGCUGCUGGAUGAGCUCCUGGCGAGCCCGGAGUUUCUGCAGCAGGCGCAAGCUUUCCUAGAAACGGAGGCCCCGGGGGAGCUGGAGGCCUCGGAAGAGGCCGCCUCGCUGGAAGCACCCCUCAGCGAGGAAGAAUACCGGGCUCUGCUGGAGGAGCUUUAGGACGCGGGGUUGGGACGGGGUCGGGUGGUUCGGGGCAAGGGCGGUGGCCUCUCUUUCGCGGGGAACACCUGGCUGGCUACGGAGGGGCGUGUCUUCCCCGCCGGGCUGACCCGCCUGGGAUUCCUGCCUUCUAGGUCUAGGCCCGGUGAGAGACUCCACACAGCGGAGAACGGCCAUUCUUUCCUGGGCAUCCCGGGGAUCCCAGAGCCGGCCCAGGUACCAGCAGGUGGGCCGCCUACUGCGCACGCGCGGGUUUGCGGGUUUGCGGGCAGCCGCCUGGGCUGUGGGAGCAGCCCGGGCAGAGCUCUCACGCCUUCCCACCACCCCACCCCGCCGCCUGACCGCCCCUCCCCACCCCCACCCCCCACCCCGGAAAAUGCGUCGUCCUCCCCUGGGCUGGGUGGAGACCCCCGUCCCGCGAAACACCGGGCCCGCGCAGCGUCCAGGCCUGACGCCGCUCCGGCGGCUCUCGCCUCCUCUGCGCCUCCGCGCCACCGUCGCCCGCCCGCCCGGGCCCCUGCAGCCUCCCAGCUGCCAGCACGGAGCGCCUGGCGGCGGAACGCAGACCCCAGGCCCGGCGCACACCGGGGACGCUGAGCGUUCCAGGCGGGAGGGAAGGCGGGCAGAGAUGGAGAGAGGAACGGGAGACCUAGAGGGGCGGAAGGAUGGGCGGAGGGACGUUAGGAGGGAGGGAGGGAGGGAGGCAGGAGGGAGGCAGGGAGGAACGGAGGGAAAGACAGAGCGACGCAGGGACUGGGGGCGGGCGGGAGGGAGCCGGGGACAGAGGGAGGAAGGCAGGGAGGAAAAGCGGUCUUCGGCCUCCGGGAGUAGCGGGACCCCCGCCCUCCGGGAAAACGGUCAGCGUCCGGCGCGGGCUGAGGGCUGGGCCCACAGCCGCCGCCGCCGCGCGGCCGGCGGGGCACUCAUUCGCCCCGGUUCCGUGGCCCAGGGAGGGAGUGGGCGGUUUCCUCAGGGACAAAAGACCGGGACUCGGGUUGCCGUCGGGUUUUCACCCGCGCGGUUCACAGACCGCACAUCCCCAGGCUGAGCCCUGCAACGCAGCGCGAGGCCGACAGCCCCGACCACGGAGGAGCCACACGCAGGACGACGGAGGCGUGAUUUUGGUUUCCGCGUGGCUUUGCCCUCUGCAAGGCGGCCUGUUGCCCACGUCUCUCCGGCCCCCGAAAGGCUGGCCAUGCUGACUGUUUGCUCCCGGAGCUCUGCGGGCACCCGGAAACAUGCAGGGAAGGGUGGAAGCCCGGCAUGGUGCCUUCGCUCUCCUUGCCAGCUUCCAAACCGGCCACACUGCAGACUCCCCAUGUUGCCGCACACGGGAAUCCAUCGUCAGGCCAUCACGCCGGGGAGGCAUCUCCUCUCUGGGGUCUCGCUCUGCUCUUCUACGUGGAAAUGAACGACAGCCACACGCCUGCGUGUGUGAGACUGUCCCGGCAACGGCGACACCCACAGGCAUUGCCUCCUUCACGGAGAGAGGGCCUGGAACACUCAAGACUCCCACGGAGGUUCAGUUCCACACUCCCCUCCACCCUCCCAGGCUGGUUUCUCCCUGCUGCAGACGCGUGGGAGCCCAGAGAGCGGCUUCCCGUUCCCGCGGGAUGCCUGGAGAGGUCCGGAGAGCCAGCCCCCGAAACGCGCCCCCCUCACCCCUUCCCCCUCUCCCCCUUCCUCUUCGUCUCUCCGGCCCCACCACCACCACCACCACCACCACCACGCCCUCCCCCAUCCCCCCUCCCCACCACCACCACCAACACCCCGCCGGCCGCAGGCCUCGACUUGCCCUGGGUCCCUUCCGGGGUGGGGCGGGCUGUCCCAGGGGGGCUCACCGCCAUUCAUGAAGGGGUGGAGCCUGCCUGCCUGUGGGCCUUUAUAAGGGCCGCUGGCUGGCUGGCUGGCUGUCCGGGCAGGCCUCCUGGCUGCACCUGCCGCAGUGCACAGGCCGGCUGA